UUUUGUUUGAAAGGUGGCUUCGGCUAUCACUUCUGGAUGAUCCCGCGGCGUAUUAGUUAGUUGGUGAGGUAAAGGCCCACCAAGACGAUGAUACGUAGCCGACCUGAGAGGGUAAUCGGCCACAUUGGGACUGAGACACGGCCCAAACUCCUACGGGAGGCAGCAGUAGGGAAUCUUCCACAAUGGACGAAAGUCUGAUGGAGCAAUGCCGCGUGAGUGAAGAAGGGUUUCGGCUCGUAAAACUCUGUUGUUAAAGAAGAACACCUUUGAGAGUAACUGUUCAAGGGUUGACGGUAUUUAACCAGAAAGCCACGGCUAACUACGUGCCAGCAGCCGCGGUAAUACGUAGGUGGCNAGCGUUGUCCGGAUUUAUUGGGCGUAAAGCGAGCG
This 390-nucleotide ribosomal RNA is filed under the name Levilactobacillus brevis. RNAcentral's name for it is "bacterial SSU rRNA". It matches the Rfam family "Bacterial small subunit ribosomal RNA", at positions 194 to 571 of the family's 1533-position model. Lineage: Bacteria; Bacillati; Bacillota; Bacilli; Lactobacillales; Lactobacillaceae. The record is from RNAcentral.